This is a long non-coding RNA of Paramacrobiotus metropolitanus, 639 nucleotides long. RefSeq lists it as uncharacterized. The record is from RefSeq and is a predicted model, not a curated record. The transcript is spliced from 5 exons. NCBI's taxonomy places the organism in Eukaryota, Metazoa, Tardigrada, Eutardigrada, Parachela, Macrobiotidae.
UACGUACAUACAUACUAAGGCAGCUACGGAGUACUUAGAGUGCGAGGACGAGCUGUGGAUUCGUGAUCACGGUUCACCUAAAAUACCAGAGUCAUUCUGCUUCCUCAUUGAUAUACCCUUACUGUUCUACACGAAUUCCACGAUCGACAACUACAGCAUCUGUAUGGAAUUUUGAAACGUUGAGUCAGAAAGCAGUACCAGGUUUGACUGCUUCUUCACGGGUCUACGAGCAGAAUCGCCGUUGAGAGCGUCUCUGCUGAAUGAGGAGCCUGCAGCUGGGUUGUUGGACGAACCUGCCUUGAUUCUCAGUCAUUCUUUCUGUUACAACAGGUUCUUCGGUUAUUUUUGGAGUUGGCUCCAUGGAACGAUCUCUCUUCCCCUUCGUUAAGCAAUAAUUACUGGCACCUUCGUUGCGAACGCACACGAGCGCACACUGGGCCUUUGGAUGGAGGUGUGAAGCAUACUGUUAGUCUAAGCAAAGGAAACUAACGGAUUUCAUUGCCCAUUUGAUGGACUGGAGUCGACUCCGGAACCGAAGCAGGCUUUUUGUGGUUUAAUUUCUGGCUUUUGCAUUAUAUUCUUCCUAUUUAAAUUUCUGUAUUUUAAGACAGCAAGUGCAGCACUCAGACGAUAGUUUGA